GCUGGAGGAUGAGAGACUCCAUUGAUGACAUCUUUGGAGGUAGAGAGAGUGGAGAAGUGAGGGAAGUGAAAGUGGGAGUUUCAGUAGCACAAAUUAAUAGUAAAAAGAAUGUUGAAGGUAACGUCUAAUAAAUUUAGGGUCAGUUUUAUUAUUAGGUAAUUUACGACUAAGUCCUUAAAAAUAUAACAAUAUCAAAUUUCUAAAGCAGAAGAAUCCAUGGCGGAUGGUUCACAAUAGGAGUACUUCUGUUUUGUGGCUACCCACAGUAGUAGUGCUGUAGUGAUGGUUGCUACUAGUGGAAGACACAGACCAAAAGUGAGAACAACUCCACCAUCUCCACCUUUCAGCAGAAAAAGAUUGAUUCUAAUGUAAAGAGAACUCUGAACUGUAUGGUUGGGAAAGCUGGUGGCCAGUGGGAAUUCUUUUACACUUGAUAUGGUUGGGAAAAGCAAGCAAGGAUUAUCAUUUACAGAGUACACAAAUAACAACUUCAAGAAUUUCCUGACAAAUCUACAAUCUACAGUAUAGAAAUUUCUCUUUUUUGAAAUGCAAACGGGGAACGUGCAUUACAAGGCCCUUUGGGCUAUAGAAAAUUCUCUUUGGCACAAUAGAAUCUGCUAAAAGAAAUUGAACAACAUCAAAUAACCAACAUCCUUAAAACUGUUACUCAAGUUUAUGACUGUAACUUUCUAUUUAAUUGGGAGAAUUUAGACUUGAG
RNAcentral lists this unclassified non-coding RNA (718 nucleotides) under Hevea brasiliensis (rubber tree). The record is from RNAcentral. Lineage: Eukaryota; Viridiplantae; Streptophyta; Magnoliopsida; Malpighiales; Euphorbiaceae.